This 689-nucleotide long non-coding RNA is filed under the name Canis lupus dingo (dingo). RNAcentral describes it as "lncRNA (ENSCAFG00020014521.1)". Lineage: Eukaryota; Metazoa; Chordata; Mammalia; Carnivora; Canidae. The record is from RNAcentral.
GAAGGCGGCCCGCGGGCUCCGCAGCCUCCGCAGCCUCCGCAGCCUCCGCAGCCGUGGCGCCCGCCCCCCUCCGGGGAGGCCUUCCCCCCUUCGCCCUCCGGCCCUUCGAUGGGGGGCACUUUGCGCGGACGCCCUCCGCUCGCCGCCGCCCCUCCCGCCUCGGAGACUCUCUUCCUUCCUUCCCCUUUUUCCUUACGCAAUAUACAGAAAUGCGCGAGGCGGUGGUUGGUGUUCAUUUCUUCCCGGUGGUUGUGUGCAUGCGGUGGGAUUACUGCCCAGGACCACACCGUGGCCUAGCUGCUGGUCUGUCAGCGAGAGAGGGGGAAAGCAGAGACCCCCGUCCACAACUUGGACCUGGUCUCCCGCCCCUCUCCGGCGGAGUGGAGAUCCUAUUCAGAGGGGCCGGUCUCUCUAAAUAUGCCCCAGAUUUUCCCUGCCGGGAAUGGGGAGCUGCCCCGGACCCUGUGCCUGCCCCCUAGGAGCUCCUGGGAUCCUUGUCUUGCUCAGACACAAACGGAAGUGUUGCGGCCAUCUGGCAACAGGGGAUGAGGAUCCGGUGUUGGGGGCUGCGAGCUGGUUCUGGGCCGCACAAAGAGGAGUUGUAAUGGUCAAAUAGUCUAGUGUGAUUCUGUUCAAGAGCUUCUUCCCCCUCUUUCAUCUUCCCCCAAAUAAAAACAAAUGAACAAACA